AACGAACGCUGGCGGCAUGCCUAAUACAUGCAAGUCGAACGAGACCUUCGGGUCUAGUGGCGCACGGGUGCGUAACGCGUGGGAAUCUGCCCUUGGGUUCGGGAAUAACAGUUGGAAACGACUGCUAAUACCGGAUGAUGACGAAAGUCCAAAGAUUUAUCGCCCAGGGAUGAGCCCGCGUAGGAUUAGCUAGUUGGUGA
This 200-nucleotide ribosomal RNA is filed under the name uncultured bacterium. Its description in RNAcentral is "partial 16S ribosomal RNA". It matches the Rfam family "Bacterial small subunit ribosomal RNA", at positions 29 to 255 of the family's 1533-position model. The record is from RNAcentral.